RNAcentral lists this small nucleolar RNA (78 nucleotides) under Salvator merianae (Argentine black and white tegu). RNAcentral's name for it is "Small nucleolar RNA SNORD53/SNORD92 (ENSSMRG00000004765.1)". It matches the Rfam family "Small nucleolar RNA SNORD53/SNORD92". Rfam says of the family: U53 is a member of the C/D class of snoRNA which contain the C (UGAUGA) and D (CUGA) box motifs. Most of the members of the box C/D family function in directing site-specific 2'-O-methylation of substrate RNAs. The human orthologue HBII-316 (SNORD92) is predicted to guide the 2'O-ribose methylation of 28S rRNA A3846. The record is from RNAcentral. Lineage: Eukaryota; Metazoa; Chordata; Lepidosauria; Squamata; Teiidae.
AUGCUAUGAUGAUCUCCAUCUUGGUUUCGCUUNUCACUGAAUUCCUGUGAUGACACAUUCUCUUGGCUGUCUGAGCAU